ACGCUGGCGGCGUGCCUAAUACAUGCAAGUCGAACGCUUUGUGGUUCAACUGAUUUGAAGAGCUUGCUCAGAUAUGACGAUGGACAUUGCAAAGAGUGGCGAACGGGUGAGUAACACGUGGGAAACCUACCUCUUAGCAGGGGAUAACAUUUGGAAACAGAUGCUAAUACCGUAUAACAAUGACAACCGCAUGGUUGUUAUUUAAAAGAUGGUUCUGCUAUCACUAAGAGAUGGUCCCGCGGUGCAUUAGCUAGUUGGUAAGGUAAUGGCUUACCAAGGCGAUGAUGCAUAGCCGAGUUGAGAGACUGAUCGGCCACAAUGGGACUGAGACACGGCCCAUACUCCUACGGGAGGCAGCAGUAGGGAAUCUUCCACAAUGGGCGAAAGCCUGAUGGAGCAACGCCGCGUGUGUGAUGAAGGGUUUCGGCUCGUAAAACACUGUUGUAAGAGAAGAAUGACAUUGAGAGUAACUGUUCAAUGUGUGACGGUAUCUUACCAGAAAGGAACGGCUAAAUACGUGCCAGCAGCCGCGGUAAUACGUAUGUUCCAAGCGUUAUCCGGAUUUAUUGGGCGUAAAGCGAGCGCAGACGGUUAUUUAAGUCUGAAGUGAAAGCCCUCAGCUCAACUGAGGAAUUGCUUUGGAAACUGGAUGACUUGAGUGCAGUAGAGGAAAGUGGAACUCCAUGUGUAGCGGUGAAAUGCGUAGAUAUAUGGAAGAACACCAGUGGCGAAGGCGGCUUUCUGGACUGUAACUGACGUUGAGGCUCGAAAGUGUGGGUAGCAAACAGGAUUAGAUACCCUGGUAGUCCACACCGUAAACGAUGAGUGCUAGGUGUUUGAGGGUUUCCGCCCUUAAGUGCCGCAGCUAACGCAUUAAGCACUCCGCCUGGGGAGUACGACCGCAAGGUUGAAACUCAAAGGAAUUGACGGGGACCCGCACAAGCGGUGGAGCAUGUGGUUUAAUUCGAAGCAACGCGAAGAACCUUACCAGGUCUUGACAUCCCUUGACAACUCCAGAGAUGGAGCGUUCCCUUCGGGGACAAGGUGACAGGUGGUGCAUGGUUGUCGUCAGCUCGUGUCGUGAGAUGUUGGGUUAAGUCCCGCAACGAGCGCAACCCUUAUUACUAGUUGCCAGCAUUCAGUUGGGCACUCUAGUGAGACUGCCGGUGACAAACCGGAGGAAGGUGGGGAUGACGUCAAAUCAUCAUGCCCCUUAUGACCUGGGCUACACACGUGCUACAAUGGCGUAUACAACGAGUUGCCAACCCGCGAGGGUGAGCUAAUCUCUUAAAGUACGUCUCAGUUCGGAUUGUAGGCUGCAACUCGCCUACAUGAAGUCGGAAUCGCUAGUAAUCGCGGAUCAGCACGCCGCGGUGAAUACGUUCCCGGGUCUUGUACACACCGCCCGUCACACCAUGAGAGUUUGUAACACCCAAAGCCGGUGGGGUAACCUUCGGGAGCCAGCCGUCUAAGGUGGGACAGAUGAUUAGGGUGAAGUCGUAACAAGGUAGCC
This 1513-nucleotide ribosomal RNA is filed under the name Weissella confusa. RNAcentral's name for it is "bacterial SSU rRNA". It matches the Rfam family "Bacterial small subunit ribosomal RNA". Lineage: Bacteria; Bacillati; Bacillota; Bacilli; Lactobacillales; Lactobacillaceae. The record is from RNAcentral.